AAAUAAAUUAACUUAAAUCCUACACCCGCAGAUAGAUAUAAACACAAAUCAAAAUGAUUAGAGAAUAAUACAUGGGUUGACAUAAUGAACAACUAUGAAAUUAUCUAAUGAUUACAUAAUUCUUGAUUAGCUCAUAGAAUAAGAUAAAAUUACACAUACACAAAGACAAAUCUAAAACAAUUGAUAAUGAAACAUAAAUCGAAAUAUUUAUACAAUAAAAUUAU
Molecule: long non-coding RNA, 224 nt
Filed under: Carica papaya (papaya)
Lineage: Eukaryota; Viridiplantae; Streptophyta; Magnoliopsida; Brassicales; Caricaceae
Description: long non-coding RNA (CPAP_LNC003399)
Source: RNAcentral